This is a non-coding RNA of Pelobates cultripes (western spadefoot toad), 245 nucleotides long. The record is from the annotation of a GenBank genome assembly. NCBI's taxonomy places the organism in Eukaryota, Metazoa, Chordata, Amphibia, Anura, Pelobatidae.
CCUCUGGGGUGCACCAUCCCCAUCGGGGGUGCACCACUGAACCGACUGAUCACACCCUGGAGCCCGUCGGAGCUAGGGAAGCAGGAAUCCACGUGUGGCCUACUGGGGUAAGAGCUCGAGAGAGGCGGCCGCUCUCCCUGAAGCCAGAGCCUUCAAGCGCCAUCAUACCAUCACCCCCCCCACUUUGGACCGGUGGGGGAUAUCCCGGUCCUCACUGGACAAAUUGAUAAGGCAGGAGGGCAGAC